RNAcentral lists this non-coding RNA (100 nucleotides) under Amphibacillus xylanus. Its description in RNAcentral is "Guanine sequence". It matches the Rfam family "Purine riboswitch aptamer". From Rfam's summary of the family: Riboswitches are metabolite binding domains within certain messenger RNAs that serve as precision sensors for their corresponding targets. Allosteric rearrangement of mRNA structure is mediated by ligand binding, and this results in modulation of gene expression. The record is from RNAcentral. Lineage: Bacteria; Bacillati; Bacillota; Bacilli; Caryophanales; Bacillaceae. RNAcentral also lists the same sequence under 1 other name.
ACAAUUUAUAUUAAAUCACCUCAUAUAAAUUUGAGAAUAUGGCUCAAAAGUCUCUACCCGUUACCGUAAAUAACGGACUAUGAGGGAAGAUGGAACAGAC